UCCGCCAUCUGGAAGGACCUUACGGACAAAGGAUUUGAAUCUGGCCAUGCCUACGGGAAGGCAUUGCGAACAGUCAAGUCCUGCGUGGGACUCACGUGGUGCCGUUAUGGGGUGCAAGAUUCCGU
Molecule: small RNA, 125 nt
Filed under: Eutreptiella gymnastica
Lineage: Eukaryota; Euglenozoa; Euglenophyceae; Eutreptiales; Eutreptiaceae
Description: partial Betaproteobacteria transfer-messenger RNA
Source: RNAcentral